AUACGGAGGGUGCAAGCGUUACUCGGAAUCACUGGGCGUAAAGCGCGCGCAGGCGGCUAUUUAAGUUGGAUGUAAAAGCCUACGGCUCAACCGUAGAACUGCAUCCAAAACUAUUUAGCUAGAGUGUGGGAGAGGAAGAUGGAAUUAGUUGUGUAGGGGUAAAAUCCGUAGAGAUAACUAGGAAUACCAAAAGCGAAGGCAAUCUUCUGGAACACUACUGACGCUGAGGCGCGAAAGCGUGGGGAGCAAACGGGAUUAGAAACCCUAGUAGUCC
Molecule: ribosomal RNA, 274 nt
Filed under: uncultured bacterium
Lineage: Bacteria
Description: partial 16S ribosomal RNA
Rfam family: Bacterial small subunit ribosomal RNA
Source: RNAcentral